Acanthosepion pharaonis is the source of this 93-nucleotide non-coding RNA. NCBI's taxonomy places the organism in Eukaryota, Metazoa, Mollusca, Cephalopoda, Sepiida, Sepiidae. The record is from the annotation of a GenBank genome assembly.
AUCUCAUGUUCACGUACGAUCACUGAAAUUAAGUAACAUCGGGCCUCGUCAGUACUUGGAUGGAUGACCGCUUGGCAAUAACAGGUGUUGUAA